CCAAGGAACCCAAAGGAACAAAGCGUUCACGCGAUAAGACAUAUUUGUUCCAAACAUUUGUGGUUUUAUGUACACAAGAAUUUUAAUUCAAGUGGAAAUUGUAAUGCAGAAUGACAACAAAAGAAAAUGUAACGAGAAAUUUAAGUUCCAUGGCGUUUUUUUCAGUAUAUAUAAGUAUAUAGGUAUGUAAGUAUUUGCAUGGGCUGGCCACACUGAUCGCUAAAUAGAAGGAAACGCGCUGUUGAAGAAUUAUAUUUGAUCACAUUUGCUUUUGUAUUCAAAAGUCAAACCCAGGUCCCCUUAGAAACUAACAAAAAUUUAUUAUUGCUAUAGAGAGCAAACAAGUAACAACUAAAAACAAAAAAUAUCACAUUCGUCAAAAAAUUGGAAAUUCUAAAUUUAAAAAAUUUUUGUAAAAGUUUUAUUUUAUAUCCAUUCAUAUAGAAUGGAAACACCAAAAUUCUCACGUCUAUUGCGAUAUUGAAUUGCGAGCCACGAGCAGAGCCUAUCAUCAGCUCACGUCUGAUCCGCAAGUUGAUUAUUAUUCUGCUUCCUACUGAACUCCUCCUGCUGCUCCUUGCUAUGCCAAUACAGACGUGCCCGCGCCACCACGACAACUGCAACACGAACUUGAACAAGGCAGGUGUGAGAUUGAGGCAUAAGACGCAAGAUGCAAAAACUGGCCACAUCAUUUCAAAGGUGAGAAAAUAUCGUGGAACAUCUGACUCGAGGUUUUCGCUACCCGAUUGCUUGCAUGUGAGGCUCGGGGUUUUCUGGAAUGCAGCAUACAGCACACAGAUGUAGCCAAGGAUAUACAGUCGAAAUUCGCUCAAUUCGCUUCUCUCACCUGUCUGUGUACAGCUCCACGUC
Long non-coding RNA from Drosophila obscura, 870 nucleotides. RefSeq lists it as uncharacterized. Lineage: Eukaryota; Metazoa; Arthropoda; Insecta; Diptera; Drosophilidae. The transcript is spliced from 2 exons. The record is from RefSeq and is a predicted model, not a curated record.